AAAUUGAAGAGUUUGAUCAUGGCUCAGAUUGAACGCUGGCGGCAGGCCUAACACAUGCAAGUCGAACGGUAACAGGAAGCAGCUUGCUGCUUCGCUGACGAGUGGCGGACGGGUGAGUAAUGUCUGGGAAACUGCCUGAUGGAGGGGGAUAACUACUGGAAACGGUAGCUAAUACCGCAUAACGUCGCAAGACCAAAGAGGGGGACCUUCGGGCCUCUUGCCAUCAGAUGUGCCCAGAUGGGAUUAGCUUGUUGGUGGGGUAACGGCUCACCAAGGCGACGAUCCCUAGCUGGUCUGAGAGGAUGACCAGCCACACUGGAACUGAGACACGGUCCAG
RNAcentral lists this ribosomal RNA (337 nucleotides) under Escherichia coli. RNAcentral describes it as "bacterial SSU rRNA". It matches the Rfam family "Bacterial small subunit ribosomal RNA", at positions 1 to 334 of the family's 1533-position model. Lineage: Bacteria; Pseudomonadati; Pseudomonadota; Gammaproteobacteria; Enterobacterales; Enterobacteriaceae. The record is from RNAcentral.